AAUGAACCUACAAGUGAAAAAGAAGAGACAGAAAAAAGUUGGGUGCUUUUUAUUUCAGUGUUCACCAGCUGUGCACCAAAUCAAACUAGAGCCACCUCUGCUGAGUGUUCAUGCUCACUCCCAUGUUCCAGUCAGAGACAGGAGAAAUUGCUCUGACAGCUCCCCAAGCCCACCAGGCUGGCCCCCAAAGGCUCACCCAUGCUCUUGGGAGGAUGAAUGUGGACCCAGAGAGAUCUCCCUCUAUCAUUCAGUGUCCUUGAAUGAGCUGGAAGCACUUCUGGCACACAGCCAGCACAGGGAGUCUGUCAGCACAGUCAAAGGGAUUUAAGUCAGUUGAUGGCACAGAGUCAAGGAAGACUCUUGACAGUUUCCAAAGGGAUUUGAAAGAUGCAUCCAUAACAUCUGAGUCCUGCUUGCCAACAAGCAGAAAGGUGCCUGCCUCACUCAGAGAAGGAGCACCAGCAUUCAAAGCAGUCUCCAGCACGUGGCACUGGCAUCCCAUAAAAGAGGUAAAGGACAACUAAGUUCAAACAAAUUUUAGGAACCCUCCAUGGUUGUUUUUCACCCUUCCAGACAUAAAGAAUGUACAAGCUGUAGAUUCACCCCCUUCCCUACUUAGAAAGUCCUCCAGGGGAUUUAGAAGGAGCCUCCAUGGGUCAUACCAACGAGGUCAAGGUCUCCUCUAGCACCAACUAGGGUCAAUGUCUUCCUGCCAGGUGACAGCAGCUCAUGCUUCAACAGUUAAAAUGAGCAGCUUUAGACAGGGCAGAAUCAGAGUGCAUUCCCCGUCUGCUACAGAAAAACCUGAAAUCAGUUUGCAGAGUCAUCUCCCACGACAAAUGACAUUAUUGAAGUGUUUGCUCAGUGCCUGCUAAACACAAACACGGAUCUGCCACUUGGCUGGAAACCCAGUGCCCUCUGCAUCAGUAACCCAGCCAAAAGGAAAACUACCUGCCACACGCAUUCCUGAAAUGCAUGGGAGGAAAACCGUGGAUAAUUAUAAUAGGUUUCCAAUUAAAACUCUCUUUGGGGUUGCUAUUAACUGCACACACAAGUGCCUCCUCCUCCUCCCACUUCUUUCCCUGUUCCGCUUCACCUCCUCUUCUCCACAGGAGCUUCCGCUGCAUCUUUCAUGUUGCAAUUUUCUCAAAUCUCUCUCAUUUUCCCCCCAGUCUUGGCUCAUGUUUAUUGCUGGCAUCAUCUUUGCUCUCUGUCUGCUCCUGUUCUUACCAACAAAGCUCACUCAGACUCUCUUUGUCCCCUCAAUCCCCUGUUCCCACUGGGAGGUGUCCCCACCAUUCACUUGCACACAGUGGUGAUGGUUUGGGGUCCUGGCAUGCAGCAAGACUGCUGAAAUAACAACACAGCUGAUUUAUGAAAAUCAAGUUCAAGACCACCCUUCUAGGAAAGAAGUUAUUUUCAUUGUUGUUAAAUACAGAGCCUGGAUCCAGCCAGAGAAGAGGUACUUUUCAGGACCACCAGCAAACACAUCAUUCUGAUGCCCUUACCUCAGGCAUAAGAACACCAGAAAAAAAACAUCACCCUUCACACACACACCCCUGAAAUUUUGCCUUGCUUCUGCAGUAGCUGCCAUUACUGGAAACCAAAGCUGCAAGAUGCCUUUUGUACACAAAGUCACCAGUCCCUUCCCACGUCACUGCUUCCCUGAGCCUGCCUGUGUACGUGAACAUUUCCUGAAUUAUUUCCUUUUUUUGUGGGGGCAGCAAAGAAGAAUACAAUCCCUUCUCAUUUUCUUCCCCAAAUUGUACAGGAAGAUUGAUCAUUUUGGUUUCCCUGACGUCCCUGAUCUAAAAAACAAAGUUCAACAGCAACACAGCUUGAGCAAUUUUCCCCAGGCUGCAGCUGGGAAGGUCCCUGCUGGGUGACAGGCACUGGGCGAUCCCGGCUGGCUCAGAACUGCUACAGGCACCAAAACCUCCAACAAACAACUGGCUGACUUCACUUUUAUUCUGCAAAUGUCAACAGCAGUCAUCAGAGAAAAUAUCCUCCCUCCCACCCUCCUGCAAUGCUCUGGCAGACAUGCGACAGCAAAUUAAAACUGGAUGGCUGAAAUUAGCACUGACGAGACUUCUGCGGGCAGCUGGGCACAAAUACAACCUCCCUGAUUUUGCCUGCUAUAAGACAGUGGGCUGGAACCUGUGUCCGUUCAAACACUUGCUCAGAAGCAGAUCAAAUGUCCCUGACUUGGGCAGCAGCAUCCUGCAGGUCCUCGCCAGCGCUGCUUAAAGCCACCCCGUUGAGUUCCCUGCCGCAAGACCGCAGAGCUCUUGGCCUCAAGUGCACAGGUGUCACCCUGGAAGCUGCCAAAAGCCAGGUCUUUGAAAGCUGAACUAUAAAUCCACAUCCACAGUUAAGUGUUUAAAUCUGUGGCUUCGCUUUCCAAUAUAAGCAGGACUGGAAAAACGCAUCAGUUUUUUAGAGUCCAGUUUGGGAUAGACACGUUAUGGAGAUCUUGGCCAAAGUUUUUACCUAAGGAAAUAAUGUGGUUUAUGGCAGCACUUGGAAAAAGCAGAAGUUUGUUCUGCUCAUUAGGUAAGAAGUGCUGCAGGGCACUUGUAAUAAACCAGAAUUUAAAUUGAAUCUAAAUUUCAUGUUUCCAAUUACCCUAAGUAAUACAUCAACUUGAUGAUUUUUAGGUUUUUUCCUCCCCAGGCUGGAGAAACAGGACAGUGUCACCCUGCUGCCUGGUUUCAGUUAGAUGUAGUUAUUUUAUGUACAGAUUUUCAAGCUUGUCCAAGAAGCAUGGUACAUUCUGAUAACUUCAUUUUCCCUGAGUUUGUGAAGAAGCCUUUCAAACACUUGAAGUUAAUUCAGUGCCUGAAGGUUCACCACCAGCUGAGAGCUGGCCCCAUAUGAGAGUCAUCGAGCCGAGGAGCCCCUUUCUGCUCAGUGGUGCAGAGCCUAGCAGGUGACACAACUAAUACUGACCCAAGAGAUGCUUUCACAGCUCUGCUGGAGUUCAUGGGAAGCUCCAACCCCCCAGAAUUUGUGUGUUGAACUGAGAUGGAGCUUAAGCACUGCUAAUCCAGAGAAGCAACAAAUGAAGUCUUCUCCCAGACAUGAGAGUUUGCCCGUAUCCGCCUGCUCUCGCUGAAGCGUCACAGCACACACUCAUAGACCUGUCAAACAUGACACCUACACUAUCAAACAUGAAACAGUGAUUCAGAAACAUGUUCUGCACCACAGUGGCAAUUACAAAGCUUAGUAACAAUCACCUCUUCACACAGGAACUUUUUCGCUGUUGUUAAAUUAACACCAGAAAUAUCUGGGUCAGAAAGGAUAAGUUCACCCCAUCUCAAAAUAAAAACACCCAUUUCAAAAUAAAAAUAGUAAAAAUAGAACAGGACUUGCUAGUAAUUCUUCCAGUGUCCAAAGAUUAUGGUGAAAAUUCAAACCAAACCAAAGAAAAUUAGAAAUGAAAGCUGCAGAGGAGGGGGCUCCCUGAGGACAGCAGUGUUCAGCCAAACCAGGGCUGCCAACAAGAACAGCUCCAUGGAGCAGAGCCAAGUGGUUACCAAUCGACUGCACCUACAUGCUUGGCCUCCCAGUCACUGCUGGUUCUCAAGUGCAAUAUGAGAACAAAAAUAGAGCACAAGGGAACUGAAAGAGAAACCUUGCUCUAAAUAUUCCCACUUGUUUCUAUUUUCCUCCCUUUGCUAUCUCCACACCAGGAAUUUUGUUUCCUCAAGGCAGAGAAAGUGGUUUAUAUACACUCUCUGAGGCUCACUGUUAGUUUCUUUCUGAAGGGAUCUCUUACCCCUUCACAAUUCUAUUUAAUUAAUUCACAAUUUUCUAUUAUAAUUUUCAUUUGAUCAGUGUUUAUAUUGCACAUCCAAAUGGCCUUCAGACUCUUGUCAGGUCAGCAGUGCUGCCCACUUCAUCAUCUGUCUGCUCCUUUGUGUCACACAUACACACCCACAAAGUGAUGAUCGUCCAGUGUAAGUAAUUCCAUAACUCAGCCUGUUUGCACCAAAAUGUACUGUUUACUUGACUUUGAGACAUAAUAUUAGAUUCUGAAGGAUUUGCCUUUUAAUGAAUGAGGUUAUGGAGAUGUUUGUUCAGCACAUGCCACUCUUCGUUAUGACAUACAAGUCAUUAAAGUUAUUAAAGGUGGAGUCACAGUGAUGCUCAUAGUUCAGGUUUUCCAUGAAGAAUCCCUACUUUCAAUUACUUGCAACUGCAACAGACUUCAGCCUUUACAGCUGGAGUUUUCAGUGGCAGGCAGCUGUCCUGGGCACAAGCAGCCUCUCCUCUGCCCUUGGAGUUAGGAAAUGUGGUCCCAGUGUCUCUCCUGCCUGGCUUGUCUGUGCAUGAGGCUCUUUGAGUUCAAGUAUUCAAACCAGGAGGGAAGGAGCCCCACAAGAGACCACAGAACCCCCUCACAACCAGUCUGAAAAGAAGCUCUUCCCACUUGGUUCCAUGUAGAUCCCUGCAAGAAUCAGGAUAGCAAGGGAAGCCUCAGCUUUUCCCCUGCCAAGAUGGGUACACAGCUCUCUGCCUAAUUCCAGACAGAGACAAUUUUACAGGUUCACAUGUCCAGUGUUAUUUUGCCAGAAUAAUGAUGAAUGGCAGAUCUGUAAGACCAUUCACCUGGCUUCCAGCUCACACAAAGAGUCACUGUAACUUCAGCUACGUGGUUCUCACUCCAUUUGGGAAACUCUCUACAAAAACUUAAAAGAAAACAAACAACUUUGCACAAAGCUGGAACAUUACUUUAACAUGUUGACUGAUUUUCUAAACAACCAAACAUAUUGUGGUAUAUCACAGCAGUGUUUACAUGGAAUGUCCUGCCCCUUGAAACCAAGCACUUGCAUGAGACCACUCUGUGAGAAAAGUUUUGUUGGCUAAGCCCAGUGAUGCCUUUAACUAUUUAAAUACGCUUUUUAAUUCUGAACUUGCACUGCUGCUCAAGCUUUGAGCAGACUCAGUAGGGGAUUACUGCAUUUUAAGUACUGUUCAAAGCCAGUGGAAGAAAGGCUUCCAAGGAGCUGAUCCCAAGCAAUCUAGCUUGAUGGAGCCAGCUGUGCAGAACUGCCAGCACCCAGUAGUCCUCUUCUACUGUCCCAGGACUUGCUGCUGCCUCUGUAAAUGAUUCUUUAUGCAAUUCAUACCAAGAACAGUUUAUACCUCUUCAGAUUCCAGUUUUAGACACCCUAGAUGAAUUACCCAGUUCCAAACAAGACAAGGAAGCAAUAUUGAAAAAAAAAGAGAAAAAAAGAAAAAAAAAAAAAAAGAAAAAAAGAAAAAAAGAAAAAAGAAAAUUCAUCACUAAUUAUAGCUUGUGCUGCCACCCUUCAUGUCUAAGGGUUUCACAUUUUUUCAGCCUGAUUUUGACUUUCCCAUCAACAGAUCAUAUGCCUUAACUAGAGCUGCUUCAGAACAGAUGGAGUUUGAACAGAUGAGUUGAAGCUUUCUCUAUGUUUGCAUUUAUUUUAGUGGUCAGUCAUCUCACUGGGUCACCUCGAUAUAGCUGACCCCCACUAUUCCCUUCCACAUACCUUAAAGCAAAACAAAUCCCGCAGCUUAUGUUGGGAGGAUUAUACAUGAAUACAUUCCAAGGAGCAGCAGUUUAUAGUUCACAUGACAUUUUACUGCUGCCCUGGGAGAGGUGGAUGAGCACAAGGAGCUGUUUGGACAGGAGACAUCCCCAGUGGGCAGCACAACCUGUGCAAAGCCAGCCUGACACACCGGAGCACGCAGAGACCGGGAUUAGCGGCGCUGGACGUCGGCCAAACCGCGUCUUACAUAGGCCCCAACAAGGGUAACUUUUACUCAGAUGAACAUUUGUAAGCCAUAAACCUAUUUACUCUAAGGAGCUAAAGGAUUUGGACAAAGAAUCCCACGCCGUUCACUUCCUCAACCCUCGGCACGGGCUGGCCCGACGCGCCCGGCCCCACGGAGGGGUUUGGGCUGCACUUCAGGCCAUGUUUACAUUCAGCUUUCACUUUUUUGGGGGGCAUCUCUCAAUAGCUACAGCAUAUUACAUUACCUCAAGCCAAGAUAGUAACACAGCUUGCAAACAGCAGUUUCUGCAUUGCCAGACACUUAACUAGAUGGUAGAUUUAUACCAUUGUUCAUGUUUGGUUCUUUAAAAAAAGACAUCAGGAAUAUACCUCUAAGUGUGUAUUAAAUAUAGCACAACCCCAAAAGAAGAAAAUAGUACUGUGGUCUGCUUUUAAUGAGCAUCACAAAUUCUUUUUGAAGGCUCAACUGACAUAAAUGGAAUUUAAAAAAAAAAAAAAAACAACAGCAAAUACCUCCUCUCUAUCACACAGGAAUUCAUAACAUUUGAGAUUGAAUCCAUGUGGGAAAACUCUGCAACAACAGCAGUUCAUGCAAUUGAAAUCCCCAUAUGUGGUUCUUCCUCACUAUAUUCCUGAUUUAGUGGUUUUGUCUUCUACUUUAGUUUUCAUAUAAUUUGAUAGUAUGGAGCAAUGAUGAGCUGGGGCUUAUUUAAGCCAAGGGAACUCAGAUGACUACAACAUGCCAACCACACAUGCACCUCAAAUAGAUCCUUUGCAGUCUGGGUUGUACCAGAUUUGAAAGUUGCAAGAAGCAGAAAACAGAAACAAUUUUUCCAAUAAUAGGAAGUCAAGAUCCAUUUCUAAAAUCUGCUCUAUUUUUAAGAAUUCCCAAUAAAUUCCUAUGGAUUUUAGAAUGCUUAACAAAAACAAUUUAAAACUACAACACCACAUGGAUAUGCCCCAAGGAAAACAAACAAGCAAAUGCUGGUAUAAGAACCCAGGUAAAUCAAUCCUAAAGACGUUUCUAUUUUAAUUUUUUUCUUAUUGAUAAAUAUUCUGUGCUCAGAAAGGUGAACUCAGCAGUAGCAAAUAAAGUGACAUGAAAAUACUGCUAUAUUCUGACAGGCAAACUUAUGCCCUUCUCAGCAGCAACCCCUCCCUAAAAACCUGUACAGAAAAACUGGAAAAAUUUGGAUCUUUUUUUGAACAGCAAGAGGGGAGAAGAAAAAAAAAAAAAAAAAAAAGAAAAAAGAAAAAAGCUUUCUGCCUUGCCCGGGAGGAAACCUUUGAAAUGCAAAGUGAGGAGGAAGACCCAGCUUGUGGAUAAAUAGCACAGCCUUGGCUUCUGUACAUCCCAAAUCCUGCUACAACAAAGCAUCAAAGCACUACAGAAAACUUCACAGCAGUGGACACUAAGAUAACUGAGCCAAAAGAAUUCAUGCAUAACACUAAUAGAUAGAUAUUUCUGGACUCUGGAGUUAAAUUAGCUAACACUAAAACAACCACACUGCUGUGUCCUAAUCAGCAAGAACAAACUUCUUAGAAUCAGUAUCUGUGGACCAAAAAAGGCUGGACAUUGUUUUUGAAAAUAAUUUCUUCUCAGAAAGCCUGAUUUUUUUUAUUUCUUUUUAAUUAUUUUUUUCUAAAUUGGCUGAGACAUUUUGUUAGUUCAGCAAAUAGUUUUGGAGAAAACAAAGUAAGAAUUCAAGACAGAAGUUGUCUUGCAUUUGGUUUAGGAUUUGAUGCAGCACUUAGGUUCUUGCAUCUCCAGAUUAAACUCGUGUAAAAUGGAGUUCUCAUGCCAUGGGAUUGGUUUCCUUAUAUUUAAUUCAGUGUUUUCAUGCAGGGGUCAUGAAUGAACUUCUCCUUUCAGGCUUUGAACAGGUGAUAGGGCCAGGAUGUUCAAACUUAGAUUUCUCAUUUGUUUUAAAGCUGUUCCACCUAAAAUUUAUAUCUUAUCCUAACAUUCACAUCCCAGCUCAGAGACUGGCUGGGCACUUCCAUCUCACAGCUGUGGGCCCUGAGUACCUUGUCACACCCUGUCCUGCUGGCUGAAUAUCCACUGACAUCUGCAAGGGCAUCUCCAAGCAAGACAGGAAUACAGCAGGACCCUCCCAGUACUUCUCUGGGCCAGUGAUCUGACCAUUCUUCUCAGCUGCAGGAAAGCCACAUGCUCUAUGUUAAACCAAACAGCCCUGUAUUCUGAAAGAAAUGCUCUAGCAUUCAGUAUUUCUCCAGGCACUCCCACUCUCGAUACCAAAAUUUGCUUCAAGAAAUGGGGAAAAAGUUUCAAAAUACAGAACUUUAAAUCCACUAAAUAUUAAAAUAAACUGAAGUUCCUUGCUGUUUCAGAAUACCAGAUUGACAUUUUAAAUGCUUGGAGAACUUCAGAAAUCAGUCAGUCAUGUUCUAAAACGGUUUUGCAAAGUCAUUUGGCACAGCAAGUCACAAAAGCACGAGUAAACUCCUCAGAAUAUUUAAUACUAGUUUAAAAUUGUCUAGCAUAUAUAUCCAAAGAGAACUCUGAGCCACUGGAGCAAGAGAUGGGCUGUAUUUGCAAUAGAAUUCAGCUUCCCUCUCUCUAGAGGCAGGGACAAAGCCAAGGUGCCUUACUACAGCCCUCGAUCCACAGGAGUCCAACCUGCAAAUGCUGCCCUGAGAGUGCAGGGAUCCUGAAAGCUCUGGCAUUUCCAUGCCAGCACAUUGCCUGUGGCUCACAGCACAUCAAACUCCCUCCUCCUGCAACAAGGGCAGCCUGCAGGAGCACUCACAUCUCCCUUCUGACCCUUGUUCUUCUCAGUUUAGAUUUCAUCUCAAGUUUACUCAGGUAGCUCAUGUGUUGUCUAGGUAACAGGUAGGGGAAAAGUUAGGGAUAAAGAAAAGAAUGGAGCAGAGUUGUGUGAAUGUCAUAGUCCUAGUCCCAAUAGAAAAAAGUUCCUAAAGAGUUAAAUGUCCCCAUGGAAGGGAGACAAGCAAGAGGAAAAGCUGUAUUGCUAAUCUUCUAUCAGAACACCCACACAGUAGGUGGGGGACUAUAACCAACAGAUUUCUUUCCAGUAGGGAUAAGUAAAAGACCUAUUUUUAUUUUAAAUUAGAUAUUAUUUUUAUUGUAAGACCCUUGUUUCUGCUGCUUAUGUAUUUCACAAACACUGACUUAUCAGACAUGUCCAAGUUCUCUGCCUAAAGCUGAUUCUUUAAAGAAAUGCAGCUGUUUCCUAGAACAGGGAAGAUAGACAUCUUGCACACAAGCCAUGGAAAUCUUUCCUUCUCUGACGUUUCAGCAUUGCAUGGAGAAAUUAUGUAGAGCAGCAGGGCAGAAGAGCUAUAACUGGACCAAGAUAUCCAGGAGAUUACAAAUAAGCAGCCCUGGGCAGCAGGAAUAAGAUCAAGAACUAAGUGGGGGCAGGGCAGUGGGGAAGGAAUGUGUUUGGAAAUCAGAUGUCAGUUGGAAAAGGAGUCUGUGCCCAAGAGAACAAGCUCCUUUUCUGAGCCAGAACCAAAUCCAGGAGUCCAGAUUCCCAAUACCUCACUACUGCCAGCAGUAACCACGAAGUCUACAGACCAGCUGUGCUCUUCUCACACUCCUCAUUAACCAGGAAGGGGCUGACAACCAAAUCCUGUCCCAUACUUCACAGACCAAGUCACAGGCAGCAGCACAGAAAACUACUGCAUCACCCCUGCAUACAUGAUUCUCAUUUUUGCUUUCUAUGACAGCUGUCUAAAAAGAUCUUGCAAACAUUUACAGGCCCACAACACUGUGAAGAUCAUUGUUCAGGCUGCAACAAAAGUGAGUAGUUCAAAAUCAGGAAAAACCUGAAAUAAAAACCAAUUGUGUGAUGGAAAACCUUUUGGCUUAUGCCCAUAAAGCCUUUGGUUCCCCACACACCAGCUCCCAACAGCUGUUCAAUAUGCAGCAGAAGCAGUGGUCAAGCAGCUGGACACAAAUUCUGUUUUCUUCGCAGCUCAGUCCCUGACUGAACUUCUCCACAGGCCAGACUUACUGUGGAAAAGAAAUCCUCCCUUUUCCAAUAGCUACAUGGAGGAACUUUUGGUUUACAAACCACAUAUUGGCCAGAAGGCAACAGGCUGAUCCCUGGGACUUGUGUCAGCACCUGUCAGCUCCUCGGCAGCCGGGCUCCAGCGCCCAGCCCGCACCGAGCCUUCCCCACGGAGCCGGGCCAUGGAGAAGCCACUCGAAUUUCACACACCAGCCUAUAGUUAGUAACUGAACCAUCAAGGUUAAGCCUUGGGUGUCCUUCAGCUCUUUGUGAGAUUUUUGACAUGUGAGCAGGAAGCACAGGGCAGCUGCCGUGCUCUGUGCUGGCAGAAUCGAACACCUCACACACACACAAAUGAUGAAAAUGUUUGUGAACACCUCACAAGUGGUGAAAAUGCAGCUCCUGCAGCUUUACCCAGUGAUACACAGCAGGGACUGCUGCCUUUGGCAGCUCAGGAAAGAGCUUACAGUGACUGAUCAUGUCUCAUUUCCCAACAAAACCAUGAGUCACAAUAAAAGCAAGAAUGCAUUUAAAUCCAAGGAAUCGUCAAAAACAUUUAAUUCUCUCUCAGGUUUCACCUGAGUAUGGUUCAGCCACCAAAAAUCUGAACCACCCUUUAAAAAAAAAUUUAAAAUUCAAAAUCAUGUUAUUACAGCUGUCCCAUAAAAUAGUGUAAUGGCACAAAGUCAUUUUAUGAGGACAGCUGUGAUAAUAUAUUAUGCUUGCAGAAAAUAUUGAGCCAAAAGUUGUACCACAGUAUUUGCUUGAUUUUUACUUAUAUUUUCUCUUUUAAGUGUUCUCCCAUUAGCUGUACAAGUAAACUGAUGAUAAAGCAAUAUCAAACCAAAACUGACUGUCUAUUUUGGCACAGCAUGAAAAACUGCAGCACUCUGUGCCCCACGCCAAGUGCCAGACAUUUUUCAUCUGUAAAUAAGGAUCUUGUCCAGGUUAUGGGCUAGAAGAAUGUAAAGGGAAAGGUCUGAAAUAUUCAGACAGAAUUCUGAAGCUUAAACUUUCAACAUAGUUCUCAAAGCAACACGAUGAUAUCAGUUCACAAAUAGCUUAAGCAGAAGUCCAGCACAGUGGUAGCUGUCUCAGGCUACGUAACAGGCCUUUCAAAAGAGUAUGAAGUAACAGAACUGAAAUGUAUUUGGCAAGAUGCCAUCACCCAGAUGAGAUCCCAGCCUCACAGAUAUGUACAGUACACAGCAAUUCAUCAGCUCAUACCCUGUGGCACUGACAUUUCUUCUGUCAAACCAAAAAUAGCUGUAGCAAAAGUAAAUUGAGCCCCACAUGUGGAGCCUGGUAAGGCAUGUUACACAAACUGCAAUAUUUCCCAAAAAACAAGAAGAAAAACAAGUGGAGGAACAACAAAUGAAACUUUCACAUUCAUCACCAGUGAAGAGAAAGCCUUCUGGGAAGGAAGGAAGGAAGGAGACUCAGGAUAGGGAUUCAGAAAAUAAAAACCACACAGCUGCUUUCCAAGUAGUGCACAAGGAAGUAUCAAACCAGGCAAGCUUCCUCCCAGGAUGCAGCACAUCACCACAGCUCCUCAAGACUUCGAAUUCCACAAAGACCUGGAGUAUCUUGUCCUACAGAAGGGUACAUGCUAGCCCUUUGCAUACAGCCCAUCCACCCAAGCUAGAGGAAAAACACAGAAAACUUAUCAGAGGCCAGAUUCUAAGUAGCAGCUUAGAUGAGUUAGAGAACAAAAAAAAGAAAAUUUAAAAAAAAAAAAA
This is a long non-coding RNA of Parus major (Great Tit), 11502 nucleotides long. RefSeq lists it as uncharacterized. Lineage: Eukaryota; Metazoa; Chordata; Aves; Passeriformes; Paridae. The transcript has 2 exons. The record is from RefSeq and is a predicted model, not a curated record.